RNAcentral lists this ribosomal RNA (497 nucleotides) under uncultured bacterium. RNAcentral describes it as "partial 16S ribosomal RNA". It matches the Rfam family "Bacterial small subunit ribosomal RNA", at positions 28 to 507 of the family's 1533-position model. The record is from RNAcentral.
GAUGAACGCUGGCGGCGUGCCUAAUACAUGCAAGUCGAGCGAACGGACCAGAAGCUUGCUUCUCUGAUGUUAGCGGCGGACGGGUGAGUAACACGUGGAUAACCUACCUAUAAGACUGGGAUAACUUCGGGAAACCGGAGCUAAUACCGGAUGAUAUUUUGAACCGCAUGGUUCAAAAGUGAAAGACGGUCUUGCUGUCACUUAUAGAUGGAUCCGCGCUGCAUUAGCUAGUUGGUAAGGUAACGGCUUACCAAGGCAACGAUGCAUAGCCGACCUGAGAGGGUGAUCGGCCACACUGGAACUGGAACGCGGUCCAGACUCCUACGGGAGGCAGCAGUAGGGAAUCUUCCGCAAUGGGCGAAAGCCUGACGGAGCAACGCCGCGUGAGUGAUGAAGGUCUUCGGAUCGUAAAACUCUGUUAUUAGGGAAGAACAUAUGUGUAAGUAACUGUGCACAUCUUGACGGUACCUAAUCAGAAAGCCACGGCUAACUACGUG